Molecule: long non-coding RNA, 357 nt
Filed under: Brachypodium distachyon (stiff brome)
Lineage: Eukaryota; Viridiplantae; Streptophyta; Magnoliopsida; Poales; Poaceae
Description: long non-coding RNA (BDIS_LNC000717)
Source: RNAcentral
AACUCUAUCUCUAACUUUCCUAACAAACUACAACUCUUUAGGAAACAGAAAAACAGAUCCGUCAGCUUGUUUUGUCCGCCACGGUCAGCACCAGUCGAAUCUCUUGAUGGGCCAGAUCCGUUGGAAAGGUCUUGUAAUUACCUUUCCAACAAGUACUUGUUUGCUUGAUUUGGACUCCGGAUGCGGCCUGGGUGAUUAAAACAAAUUCGGGUCUCCUGACAGCUCGGACCCGAAUCUGAUUCAAAUUUAAUUCGUGAUAUCUUUCUCUAGCAAGCUCCGAAUCAUGUGCCGUUUGAUUUGUUGGAAAGUAGACUUGAUAGGCUUCACUUUGAAUCUCCCUUUGCAGGCUAUAACACU